GUUUUAGAUGUGGGGAAACAGGAGAGGCAGGGCUGUGGUCAGAGGAUGUUGCUGACAGGCAGAAGGUUUUUAGUUGAGAGGUAAAAGGUUCCCUACAUAUUCAAGGUGUUUCUGUUCUGUUUGAAUCUGGAUUCUUUGCAGAGGGGAAGUGACCCGAAGAUGUUGCUGUAUCGUCCGUUUGCACUGGGAGGAGGCAGAAAGGCAGCGUUUCUGCUGUCCAGUGAGAUUCGAGCAGAAAUCAUCUGAUACCCAAUGAUAUUAGAUCUAUAUUUGUGUGGAAUACUUCAGGAAGGACCCCUGGACUUUGUCCACAUUUUGUUGUGUUACAGCCUGAAUUUAAAAUGGAUUAAAUUCAUUGUGUUUGACACUGUCCAACACACAAUAUUCCAAAGCAUGCAUCUUGUUUGCAACAAGGCACUAAAGUAACACUGCAAAAAUGUGGCAAAGAAAUUAACUUUUUGUCCUGAAUACAAAGUGUUACGUUUGGGGCAAAUCCAAUACAACACAUUACUGAGUACCACUCUCCAUAUUUUCAAGCAUAGUGGUGGCUGCAUCAUGUUAUGGGUAUGCUUGUAAUUGUUAAGGACUGGGGAGUUUUUCAGGAUAAAAAAAUAAACAGACUGGAGCUAAACACAGGAAGAAUUCUAGAGGAAAACCUGGUUCAGUCUGCUUUCCACCAGACACUGGGAGAGGAGUUCACCUUUCAUCAGGACAAUAAACCUAAAACACAAGGCCAAAAUCU
Long non-coding RNA from Oncorhynchus tshawytscha (Chinook salmon), 742 nucleotides. The record is from Ensembl. NCBI's taxonomy places the organism in Eukaryota, Metazoa, Chordata, Actinopteri, Salmoniformes, Salmonidae.